AUUGAACGCUGGCGGCAGGCCUAACACAUGCAAGUCGAACGAUAACAGGAAGCAUCUUGCUGCUUUUCUGACGAGUCGCGGGCGUGAGAGUUAUGUCUGGGAAACUGCUCGAUGGAGUGGGAUAACUACUGGAAACGGUAUCCAAUACCGCAUAACCUCGCAAGACCAAAGAGGGGGACCUUAUGUCCUCUUUCCAUCGGAUCUGCCCGGAUGGGCUUGGCUAGUAGGUGGGGUAACGACCCACCUAGGCGGCGAACCCUAGCUGGUCUGAGAGAAUGACCGGCGACACUGGAACUGAGACACGGUCCCUACGCCUACGGGAGGCAGCAGUCGGCAAUGUUGCGCAGUAGGCGGGAGCCUGAUGCAGCCAUGCAGCGUGUAUGAAGAAGGCCUUCGGGUUGUAAAGUACGUUCAGCGGGGAGGAAGGUAGUAAAGUUAAGAACUUUGCUCAUUGACGGUACCCGCAGAAGAAGCACCGGCUAACUCCGUG
Molecule: ribosomal RNA, 490 nt
Filed under: uncultured bacterium
Lineage: Bacteria
Description: partial 16S ribosomal RNA
Rfam family: Bacterial small subunit ribosomal RNA
Source: RNAcentral